AGUGAACGCUGGCGGUAGGCCUAACACAUGCAAGUCGAACGGCAGCACAGUAAGAGCUUGCUCUUACGGGUGGCGAGUGGCGGACGGGUGAGGAAUACAUCGGAAUCUACUUUUUCGUGGGGGAUAACGUAGGGAAACUUACGCUAAUACCGCAUACGACCUACGGGUGAAAGCAGGGGAUCUUCGGACCUUGCGCGAUUGAAUGAGCCGAUGUCGGGUUAGCUAGUUGGCGGGGUAAAGGCCCACCAAGGCGACGAUCCGUAGCUGGUCUGAGAGGAUGAUCGGCCACACUGGAACUGAGACACGGUCCAGACUCCUACGGGAGGCAGCAGUGGGGAAUAUUGGACAAUGGGCGCAAGCCUGAUCCAGCCAUACCGCGUGGGUGAAGAAGGCCUUCGGGUUGUAAAGCCCUUUUGUUGGGAAAGAAAAGCAGCAGGUUAAUACCCCGCUGUUCUGACGGUACCCAAAGAAUAAGCACCGGCUAACUUCGUG
RNAcentral lists this ribosomal RNA (492 nucleotides) under uncultured bacterium. Its description in RNAcentral is "partial 16S ribosomal RNA". It matches the Rfam family "Bacterial small subunit ribosomal RNA", at positions 29 to 507 of the family's 1533-position model. The record is from RNAcentral.